UACGAAGGGGGCUAGCGUUGUUCGGAAUUACUGGGCGUAAAGCGCGCGCAGGUGGUCUUUCAAGUCAGUGGUGAAAGCCCGGAGCUCAACUCCGGAAAUGCCAUUGAAACUGUAAGACUUGAGGAUGAGAGAGGUGAGUGGAAUUCCCAGUGUAGAGGUGAAAUUCGUAGAUAUUGGGAAGAACACCGGUGGCGAAGGCGGCUCACUGGCUCAUUACUGACGCUCAGGCGCGAUAGCGUGGGGAUCAAACAGG
This 253-nucleotide ribosomal RNA is filed under the name uncultured bacterium. RNAcentral's name for it is "partial 16S ribosomal RNA". It matches the Rfam family "Bacterial small subunit ribosomal RNA", at positions 524 to 776 of the family's 1533-position model. The record is from RNAcentral.